Molecule: long non-coding RNA, 6859 nt
Organism: Apis cerana (Asiatic honeybee)
Lineage: Eukaryota; Metazoa; Arthropoda; Insecta; Hymenoptera; Apidae
Source: RefSeq, a predicted model, not a curated record
CACGACAUUAAUAGUUACUCGUAAACUGUCACGUCGGUAACUUUGCGCCGAAACAUUUUCCCAUUUAGCGACUAGCGCUACACGAAAGGUGGCGAAUUAACGAAUUUCCAACAGAAAAAUGGCGGUGUUUAUAUACGUGCAUUCGUAAAUAAUACAAUAUAGAACAGUAUAAAUGGUAUGUUUCCCCAAGAGAAACAACAAAACGAUCAGCAACGGCUACUGGAAAGGAACGAUUGAUUGUUAUCCGAUAAUAGAAACAAAACAGGCCAGCGAACCGGCUAAUGCGCCACUUCAAUUCCCAACGAUGACAGAAAGUUUACGUUAGAAUGUUUGUUUAAUGGAAUGCAAUAAUAUUACGCGGGUAAUUAGCCAGUGCAUUUUCAAGUGUCAUUCUUUCGAAUGUAAAAAGUUUCGUGAUUGGUUCUCUUCAUGCUCGAAGACCGUCGCACACAGAGAAUUCGAUACAACGAUACUUCUGAUGUGAGUGCUACUAUUCUCGUUAAAAACAUAUAAACUCCUCGAGUAACCAAUUUCUAGAACAGUCCGAAAAAGUUAUGAAGUACUUUUCAAAAUGCAUUGCGUCGCUCCAUACAUCCAAAUGGGUUGAAAGACAUUUGUUUUGAAAUUUUUUUUUUUUUUCCUUUAUAAAGUUGAAUAUCGAAAUGUGAAUAUUGUAGAAGGUAAUUAUAAGUAAAUUAUAAGUAAAAAUCAGGAACGAUAUAUAAAAACAGUUAAAUUUUGAUCAUGAAAGUCAAUUUUGUUUUUUCAUUAAGAUAUUCGAACAGUAUGACAUUAUCCUCGAUUCCAGAAUCCCAAUGACUUAAUAACGUUCGAAGAUAUAACAAGCGGAAUCCCAUUAAACGAAAAGUCCGCCGGUACAUGAAGAGUAUCUCGGCAAAGCGUACAUUUCCCUGGAAAUAUUUUCCUUUCAUUCAUUUCAUAGCAUCAAUGGCAAAGUAAAGAAGAUAGAAGAGAAAUAGCACGGGAACAGAUGGUGAAUUCAUUACUGGCAGUGUUAAGAAGCAGCGUUGAAUUAGCGAAAGCAACGCCAUCCUAACAGUGUAUACUCGUUACCACGCCUCUUAUUAUUAAAGCCGCGAGGCAUCGGAUCUUCGUCGCUUUUCACCAUGAAGAGAAACCACGGAACAUCACGAUAGCAUCGAAGUUAGUAGUCGGGUGAUUACACUCGUGCGUUCCUUAAUUAUAAUUGAGAAGUCGAUGAAGAAUCGCCAAAAUUUUCAAUUUUUAAGGAUCUAUUGUAUUAAUGGACUUUUUUUUUAAGAAGUUAAGUAAUUAAUGCUGGAUACAAUAAUAGGAACGAGAAAAAAUUCGAAAGCAAAAACAGUUCCAUCCAUAAGCGGUAGAAUAAAUUAUGAAACUAACAGGAAAUCUGGAGAUGCAUUACGAGCGAUAUCCUAUUGCCUCGCCAUGGAUAAUCCCGCACCCUCGACAUUUAUUGCCUCUCGAAAAGCCAGCGCAGGUAAUCUCCGCAGCUUCGGCUGGCACGCGAACCGACCGGCACACGAGCGCCCAUAACCAUUAACAAAUCUUGUAACCUAGCACGAAAUAAAGUGCUCUCGUGAAUCGACCGUUUGAUUCCAAUAGCUACGGGGGCUGCUUUUAUGGGAGCAAGACGAGAGACAUGAAGGGGAACCAGAAGCUAAAGAACGAAGAGGAAGCGAUAGAGAAUCAUGAAAGAAAGAAGAGUGUCCCUAUAUAUGUGCACGCGCGCGCAUACAUCGUGCCACAAGGGUAUUGUCGAUCUCCUCUCGCAAUUCUCCGCGAUGCUCGAACGGUGCACACAACAUCACGAAGAAAAGAGAAAGGACGACUCUUCUGUGCCCGAAACUCGGGUAUUAUGAUCAUCGAACGUAAUACGAUAUGGCCAAACUUCGGAUAAACAUACACGCCCCUAGCACAACGGGCUGACCUGAACCUAAGACCUGCCGGUGAAAUCAAUUUUAACGGACUGAAACUAAAGGGAAUUAUCAGAUUGAUGCACAGACUUAGGUUUCAGUGUGGUGAAGAUAGUAACUUUUGGUUGUGAGAGAUUAUAUAGAGGAAUGAAGAUUUUGAUUGUUGAGAAAAACGGAAUGAUUUCAUUACGGAAUGAUUUUUUCAUUUCACUAUAAAAUGUCUCUUAUAUUUCUUUAUAAAAUAAGUUUUUUUAUAAAAUUUACAAAAUUUUCUUAUAAAAAUUAAAGAAAAGGAUAUGAAAAUAAAUAAAAAAAUAAAUAUAAAAGUAAAAUGAAUAAAUUCUUUGCAAAAUAAUCAUCAUUUGCAAAGAAAAUGUAUUUUCAUACAAUCUUUACAAAAAUUUCACAAAUAAUGAAAUACAUGAACAAAGAUAAAAAUCUAAGAAAAGAAAGAUAAAUGAUUACUAAAAAAUAAAAAAAGAAUAUAUGAUUUAUAUUAUGCAUCAUCAAAAAUUCAAAAAGCAAAGUUUAAAGAUUUUAAAUAAUCUAAGAACAAUAUUUCUUAUAAUAUUAAAAUUGUAAAAAUUGUGUAAAAAAAUUGUCGCAACCAAAACGAUUUAUACCAUCCAUUCUAACUAAUCUUAUUGUUUCCAUGGGCCGAUUUAUAUUAAACAGAGAAGAAAGGGGCACGAUUCAACAUGAAACGAAAGCGAACAAAGAAGAGACAAAUUGGCGGUGUAGGCGCUCUGCUUAUUAAACCCAACGCCUGACCCAACCUGACCCGAAGCAAUACACCCCGAUUGUGCCGAGUGUUGUAGUCGAAUAGGAGGGGAAAGUCGGUUGUACCGAAUCGGUAGAAGCUUUUUGGGUAAAAGGCGCCACCCUUCGGCGUCGAGUCUCCGUUGAAGGGGCUGUUGGCCCGACAGAAGCCAAGGAAAGGCGUGUCGGGUUACCGGCUAACCCCGGGGGUAACCGCGAACCCCACCUAAGCCCAUAAGCGUACACGUAUUUGCGCACCCCUUCGUAUAACUCAUUGGGAAGGUCACAAAUUUCGCUCGAAGGUUGCGGUGCGAUCCGAACCACCUAUGAUCCUAUGGAGCACCAUUGGGCCACCGUUAGCAAAAAGUAAAAAUUCGUCAAUUUGGGAUAAAAUAGAAUUAGAAUCCUUCUAAAUGAUGAAGAAAAUUCAAAAAUUCAAAAGAGGAGGUUGUGUCGGCAUUUUAUACUUUUGAACAAACUAUAGAGCUGAUUCAUGGAACUAUACCCUUCCGUCCCGAUUGGAGACAACUCGAAAUCCAUCCGAAGAAAAUGACCUACGUAUAAUUCAUAUGCAAUUGAUAGAAUAUGAGUACUUAUAUCAAUAAAAGAAAAUUAUACAAUAACGUACAAUACAUACACAAAUACUACUUUCUGUGACACAAUGGUUUUUUCCAAUUCUUUUGAAUCAUGUGAAAAAGCUCGGAUAAUAUCGAAAUCAAAGUAAAGAGAAGAAAAAACUAUAUAAAACCUUCAUGUCGUAGUUCAUCGAUGCUCGGAUUACAAUCAAACACUUUGCUGCCGAAGGGCGGUUCGGGGGUGGGCGAGCAAGGGUUAGCCACCCCCGCGCCCAACAGGGUUCUUGCCGCGUGCAGCGCCGCCGCCGCCGCUUCCCUGCUCCUCGCUGCCGUAGCACUUGGCGGGUAAUCCGAAGCGCUGUCACUUUCGGCGAUGCCGCCACCGCCACCGCCGCCUCCGCAAGGACGAAGGUGCAGGUUCAGUCGACCGCCGCCGACCGUGCCACCACCUCCACCGCCUCCUCCGCCGCCGCCUCCGCCACCGCCGCCACCUCCGGCCACGCUAACACAAUGCUAGAAAAAACAAACGAAUAAUCGUUAACUUAAUUUAAUCGCUCAAAGUUGAGAAUCGUAGAAUCUAAAUAAGUUUGACAGUAAAAUAAUUAAAUUCUCUUGAAACUUGUUUUUUGAAAGUAAUCUUCACAAGUACAAUUGAGAUUGUGAAACAAUAAUAUUAAUUUCUCAAUAUAGAAAAAUUAUGCUUGAAAAUUUUAUUCUUAAAUAUAACGGGAAAAAAUAUUGAAUAUGAUUGAUUAUGACUUUUGUAUAAUUUAUAGAAAGAUUCAAAGUUUAUACUACUUUAAUUGCUAAAUGCUUCCAGCAAGAGUUUAUGUGUUUUUUCUGUACUUUUAUUAAAAUUUGAAAUGUAUUUUCAUAGAUAGAAAAUAAUUCAUGAGAUACGUAUGCGAAAAUUAUAUUAAGUGAAAAAUAUUUCUAGAGAGAUAUUUUCUUUUACAUUUAUUUUAUAUGAAAUUUAGUCAUAUAUAAAUAUGCAACAUAUAAUGAGCAAGAAAUUGUCUAUAACGAAAUGUAUAUCCUAUUCAUAAACUAAAAAAAUUAAUCGAUUAUGAAUUACUGUAAAGUCAAACAUUAUAGACAUUCUUAGAAAUUCAAUAUCUUUUAUGUAAAUUUGACGACUUAUUCAUCAAAAUCUUAGAAAAAGUAACGUUUUAUACAUAAAUCACUGAAAAUAGCGCAAGUAAAAUAGAAAAUAAAAAAUAUUGCAUCAGAAUCUUAUAACACUGACGACAGAAAAUCAACAAAGCACAGAAAGCUAAUGCAUGAGAUUUACAAGCAAAAGCUUGUUGGUCUUUUACAAAAAUAGCUAGUGUUUAUUCAUACCAAACGAAGCACAUGCUUCCAUCUUCUGUUUUAACAUUUUGCAUUUCACAUAGAUAUUUUUUAUUUUGUUCUAGGCAAAGCAAACUAGUUUUAUUAUAUGUAUAAUAUUUUUUUUUGAAAAUCAUACAUCACAUUCAAAAUUUUGAAAAAUUAACUGCUUUAUAUGCACCUUAUUAUUAUAUAUAUAUGCAUAUGCAUGUACGUAUUUACAACAAUUUCUUUCUAAAUUCUAAUAUAUUUUUUUAAAUUUCAACAAGAAAACAACAUGCGUGUUCCUAUAAAAUUAACUCGACGUUUUUUUUUAUUCCAAAUCUUGUUUCGAAAUAAUAUUCCGCCUUGUGAUUUUCUCUGUAUUUUUAAACAAAGAAAAAGAAAAUGCUGAAUCAUGUUUUGUUUAAAUUUUGCUUCCACAUCUCAUAUAUCGCGAUACGGUAACACGAUGUAAUAUCUUAUAUUUCCCACUGAUUUUUGUUAAAAUUUAAUUUUGAAGCUUAUAGAGUUAGGCAGACCAUUGGAAACACAAGAAAUACAUGUCAAGUAGUAAAAUCCUGAUGGAUUAAACACGGAUGGAAAAAUAUUAACAUUUCAGCGAUUUUUCUCUUUAGUGGCUAAAAAACGUGAUUUCAAACUCGAGCAUUUGCAAUUUACCGACAAGCAAGUGGAAAGAAAACGUGCAAAGAAACGCAUUUUCGUAAAACUCGUUCACACUCUUACAUUUUAAAUAGUCCGAUCCGUUAAGAUGCUUAGUUUAAACAUGAACGCGGAUGCGCGCGCAUCGUGUCGACAUCGAAUGAAAAGCUGAAAUAAUUUCUUAACCUCGCGGCGACGUUUCCUCAACAAUGGUAUUUGUUAGCCAAGCGGACGAACAUUGAAAUGUUGGUUAUUACGAAAUAUAGUGAGAGAAAGAUUUCUAAGACUACACUCGUCGACUUUUUAAGCAUUAAUUAAUUAAAAACGGGAUGUUGCGUACUGAUCAAGUGGAAGGUGAUUGUCGUCUAUUGUGCGAUUUCAAGGUCGUGAAAAUUUUAUGUAUGUAUGAUAUCGUUGAGAAAUAAAGGAAAUAGGUAACGAAUUAAAUUAAUAAUUAGAAGAAAUACAUGGAAAGAAGAAAAAAAAAUACGCUUUGAAUAUUAAUAAAAAUUUAUUCCCAAUAAAAAUAAAUUAUUUAAAAAAUUUUUGAUUAAAAUAAAAUAAAUCUUAAGUAUUUUCUCAUUGUUACAUAGUUAAUAUUUCCUUUUUCGAAUCUAUUAAUCUAACAUCGGCAUAAAUAAUGUCUUCGCCCAUUCUUCCCCAUGCAUUCAUAUAUUUUAUAAAUUAAAAAAUCCACACAAUUCACAGGAAACGGAAGAAAAAAUAUCACCUCGUAAAUCUAUCAGAUUAAUAAUCGCGAUGUAUUAAAAAGCAUAUGUAUGAAACAUUGGAAGGGAAAAAAAGAUCAAAUUUUGCAUGUCGACAGGUCAAAGUUUCGCGUAAAGGCAGAUCAAUGUUUCCGUAUGAAACACAUCGAACCGACUAUCAAAAAUAACUGGCCGAUAUUGUUGCGAGCGAUUUCAUAAGCCAACGGUAAAUCACGAGAACUCGAUUUGAUCUCUGUACUUCUGCACGCUCUUUCACGUGCCCUUCCACGCAUACAAAACGGCGGCCGCUUCAAAGAACAUAAUUCAGGGGAUUAUCGCACGCGCGAAACGGGGCAAAUAUUGGCACUGUCGAAACUGGUUCGCCGAAAGCAAAUUUCGAAGUGCACCCAGAAAAUAAAUAACGCCGCGGCGAAUAAUAAACAUCGCGGUGUCGACGGUAAAUUUUUUCAUUUUUCCAAGCUUGAUUACGCUCCGCAUAAAUUUAUCGUUCAUUGGCCGACCUUUUUCGUUACUUGAAAAUUGCGAUCGAAAGGCGAAUCGAAAACAUGAGACACAACUAACAGAAAUAAUUUUUUUUGAUUGAUGCCAGUUAAUGUGCAAACAAUAGCGAUAAUUUUUCUUGUUCAUUUGAGAUAGAAAGUUUUAUUUGAUUGUAUGUGAAUUGCAAUAAGAAAAUGAUGAAUGAAGAGCUAAUUUAUUAGAUUUUGAUAUAUUUCACGCUGUUAUGGAAUGUAGUAAAGUAUGUACAAUACAAUAGUACAGAAAGAAUAUAGAAUACAAUAAUACUUGUAGUUAUAGCAAUUAUUUAAGAAACUCGCUAAUUAAACAUUAUUACUGAAUAUCAUAAAUACAACUAAACAUUUUAAAUUAUUAUGUUGAAAUUCUAUUAUGUUUAGAUUUUGUAUAAUCU